RNAcentral lists this ribosomal RNA (304 nucleotides) under Pseudomonas sp. RNAcentral's name for it is "bacterial SSU rRNA". It matches the Rfam family "Bacterial small subunit ribosomal RNA", at positions 619 to 922 of the family's 1533-position model. The record is from RNAcentral. Lineage: Bacteria; Pseudomonadati; Pseudomonadota; Gammaproteobacteria; Pseudomonadales; Pseudomonadaceae.
AACUGCAUCCAAAACUGGCAGGCUAGAGUAUGGUAGAGGGUGGUGGAAUUUCCUGUGUAGCGGUGAAAUGCGUAGAUAUAGGAAGGAACACCAGUGGCGAAGGCGACCACCUGGACUGAUACUGACACUGAGGUGCGAAAGCGUGGGGAGCAAACAGGAUUAGAUAUCCUGGUAGUCCACGCCGUAAACGAUGUCAACUAGCCGUUGGGAGCCUUGAGCUCUUAGUGGCGCAGCUAACGCAUUAAGUUGACUGCCUGGGGAGUAUGGCCGCAAGGUUAAAACUCAAAUGAAUUGACGGGGGCCC